GGGCCUAUAGCUCAGUCGGUAGAGCAGCGGACUUUUAAUCCGUUGGUCGUGGGUUCGAUCCCCACUGGGCCUACCA
RNAcentral lists this transfer RNA (76 nucleotides) under Deltaproteobacteria bacterium. RNAcentral describes it as "tRNA-Lys". It matches the Rfam family "tRNA". From Rfam's summary of the family: Transfer RNA (tRNA) molecules are approximately 80 nucleotides in length. Their secondary structure includes four short double-helical elements and three loops (D, anti-codon, and T loops). Further hydrogen bonds mediate the characteristic L-shaped molecular structure. tRNAs have two regions of fundamental functional importance: the anti-codon, which is responsible for specific mRNA codon recognition, and the 3' end, to which the tRNAs corresponding amino acid is attached (by aminoacyl-tRNA synthetases). tRNAs cope with the degeneracy of the genetic code in two manners: having more than one tRNA (with a specific anti-codon) for a particular amino acid; and 'wobble' base-pairing, i.e. permitting non-standard base-pairing at the 3rd anti-codon position. Lineage: Bacteria; Pseudomonadati; Myxococcota; Myxococcia. The record is from RNAcentral.